Molecule: long non-coding RNA, 521 nt
Organism: Odontomachus brunneus
Lineage: Eukaryota; Metazoa; Arthropoda; Insecta; Hymenoptera; Formicidae
Exons: 3
Source: RefSeq, a predicted model, not a curated record
CUCCAGUCGAAAUCUUGAUGUGGGUCCGGCUCCCACAUACAAAGAUCUACAUUCUCGAAGUCGCACUUCGUCGGCGGGGGUACGGUCGAGUCUUCCCGUGAAAUAUGUUGCAUUAACGCACACGAGAGUCGUAAUACGUACUUGCGCCAUCGAUUGACAAGGCGGGAAAUAAUUAAACGAAGAUAAAAAUACCGUGCGUAAUACCUCGACAAGAAGGAGUCGUUCCAUUCCAAUUGCGGCCGUCACAGUAUAUCUCAACUGAGCCAACUAAACUGUAACCAGGUUCGCAAAAGAACAUCAAUAUCCCGCCGUCCAAUUUUGAGGCCACGAAUGUGUGAGGCGGUGUCGGCGGUGGAGUGCAUCUCGUGCCUAAACAAAGUUCAUUGACUCUACUUACUCACGCACACGGGAACAGGUGUGUCCCAUUUGCCAUGUAUACAUGAGGCGUAUCUGUUGCCCACGAGGAUGUAUCCAUCAAAACAGUCGAACCUCAUAAUCCGACCUCUCGCCCUAAUACGCAC